CAGGUCAACAGAGAUUUCUUCCCCUGCUGGAAACGUAGAAUCAGCAAAAGAUUUUAUGAAAACCACCAUGGAUGGUUGGAUCCCACAUGCCAAUGGUGUCCUGAGUAAGAAUCAAUUUCCCCUCCCGAGUCUGUUGGGGUUGAUGUACAGCGAGGGCGAAACCACACUCGGUUUUGGAGAGAACGUGCUGCUCUUCCACGUGAAGAUAGAAGCUUUCGAUGAAAAUGAGAUGGCGGAGCGAAUAAGACGUUACAGGGAGGCGCCCAAGAACAUGUAAAAAGGGAAGGUGUGGAGGUCUCCCAGGUCAACACAUUCCCCUUUUUGCUCAUUCAGAUGUUGAAUCUAUUCCUUGGAACAAAAUUGACCAAAUUCACACACCAACCGAGAAGAUAAAGGCAGCCUUGUUCAAAGGCCUCUUCAUAAUUCACAUUUUUUUUGGUAAACCAUUUUAAGGUGUGGUUAAUUGGGAAGAAGAACACAAAUUUAUGCAAUCGAUGAAUAUCUUUAUUGAAAUUUGGUGCUUCCAGGAACACGGAUGGUUGAGGGAAUCUCUUUCCUUCCCUGCCCG
Molecule: non-coding RNA, 568 nt
Organism: Pseudonaja textilis
Lineage: Eukaryota; Metazoa; Chordata; Lepidosauria; Squamata; Elapidae
Source: RefSeq, a predicted model, not a curated record